GGCAGCAUGUCUUAGCUUGCUAAGGCGAUGGCGACCGGCGCACGGGUGAGUAACGCGUAUCCACCUGCCUUACACUCUUGGACAGCCUUCUGAAAGGGAGAUUAAUACAAGAUGUUUAAGCAUUCGUAAAGGUUUCCGGUGUAAGAUGGGGAUGCGUUCCAUUAGAUAGUAGGCGGGGUAACGGCCCACCUAGUCUUCGAUGGAUAGGGGUUCUGAGAGGAAGGUCCCCCACAUUGGAACUGAGACACGGUCCAAACUCUACGGGAGGCAGCAGUGAGGAAUAUUGGUCAAUGGACGAGAGUCUGAACCAGCCAAGUAGCGUGAAGGAUGAAGGUUUAUGGAUUGUAAACUUCUUUUAUACGGGAAUAACGGAUCCACGUGUGGAUUUUUGCAUGUACCGUAUGAAUAAGGAUCGGCUAACUCCGUGCCAGCAGCCGCGGUAAUACGGAGGAUCCGAGCGUUAUCCGGAUUUAUUGGGUUUAAAGGGAGCGUAGAUGGGUUGUUAAGUCAGUUGUGAAAGUUUGCGGCUCAACCGUAAAAUUGCAAUUGAUACUGGCAGUCUUGAGUACAGUUGAGGUAGGCGGAAUUCGUGGUGUAGCGGUGAAAUGC
RNAcentral lists this ribosomal RNA (609 nucleotides) under uncultured bacterium. RNAcentral's name for it is "bacterial SSU rRNA". It matches the Rfam family "Bacterial small subunit ribosomal RNA", at positions 68 to 689 of the family's 1533-position model. The record is from RNAcentral.